CCAAUCGUGGGACAGAUCUGUGGAGGCCGGACUUCCUGCUCUAUCAAUGCCUUAGCAGUCCCGGUUCCGCCUCCGCCGGGAGCUGGGCCAGAAGAUGGCGGCGGCCGCUGAGCUGAAGCUGCUGGAGAAGUCUUUGGGGCUGAGGCCGGGGAAUAAGUACAGCGCUCAGGGCGAGCGACAGGUUCCAGUUCUACAAACAAACAAUGGCCCAAGUCUAAUGGGAUUGGCUACCAUCGCAACCCAUCUAGUCAAGCAAGCCAAUAAAGAGCACUUGCUAGGGAGCACCGCAGAAGAAAAGGCAGUCGUUCAGCAGUGGUUAGAGUACAGGAUCACUCGAGUGGAUGGACACUCCAGGAAAGAAGAUACCCACAGCCUGCUGAAGGAUCUUAAUUCCUAUCUUGAAGAUAAAGUCUACCUCGCAGGAUAUCACUUUACCUUGGCAGAUAUCCUUCUGUACUACGGGCUCCACCGCUUCAUAGUUGACCUGACAGUUCAAGAAAAGGAGAAAUACCUUAAUGUGUCUCGCUGGUUUUGUCACAUUCAGCAUUACCCAGACAUCAGGCAACAUCUGUCUAGUGUUGUCUUCAUCAAGAACAAACUCUAUGCUAACUCCCACUAGAAGCCUCUGCAUGCAGCAGCAGCAGUAGAAAAGUAAUGGAAGAUGUAUUUUGGACCAUGCAUUUGAACCCCAUCUGUUGGAUUAAACAACUCAGCAUAGCAGUGCCCCUUAUCCAUUGAGGAUACGUUCUGACACCUCAAGUGGAUGCCUGGAACCCUAGGAAGCAGAAAGAGAGCAGGAAGUGAGAUGCGUCUAUAAAUACACACACGCAUACCUCGUGCCAGUGCUUACCCAAAUCAGUGACAUACUUCUUCAACAAGGCUACACUCCCUAAAGACUGCAUAACCUUCCCAAACGACAUCACCAACUGGGGACAAGUGUUCAAAUACACAAGCCUAUAGGGGCACCCAAAUCAUCACAGGCACAGAAAUAAUAAAGUAUUGAUGAGAAGAACAGGAAGGAGAAACUGGUCCAAUAGGGCAGGGAUCCCAAAGCAAUGCUAAGAAUGUCCUUGCUGGAGGGCAAGAAUGCUGGAAGAAAGCUCUGGUUCCUGGUUCUUUGCUAUCUCUGACCCUUUCCUGGAAGCUAUACUUGAGGACCCAAAUGAAACUGAGUAGAGACACCUGGAUAACUCAGUUGGGCCAACAGUACUGACCAACCCAUCCCCAUCCCAUGCUUCACCUCCAUUUCUACUAUAAAUCCUUUCAAACCCCACUAGACUAUCAGCUCAGUGUUACUCUGUUUCUUGGGACCCCUCCUGUUAUGUAGGAGCUCCCUUCUCCUUCCCUCUCUGC
Peromyscus eremicus (cactus mouse) is the source of this 1353-nucleotide RNA transcript. It is a transcript of the gene named eukaryotic translation elongation factor 1 epsilon 1, with no coding region annotated. The record is from RefSeq and is a predicted model, not a curated record. Lineage: Eukaryota; Metazoa; Chordata; Mammalia; Rodentia; Cricetidae. The transcript has 7 exons.